CGGGGCGUAGCUCAGUUUGGCUAGAGCGCAGCGUUCGGGACGCUGAGGCCGUAGGUUCAAGUCCUACCGCCCCGA
RNAcentral lists this transfer RNA (75 nucleotides) under Candidatus Omnitrophota bacterium. Its description in RNAcentral is "tRNA-Pro". It matches the Rfam family "tRNA". Rfam says of the family: Transfer RNA (tRNA) molecules are approximately 80 nucleotides in length. Their secondary structure includes four short double-helical elements and three loops (D, anti-codon, and T loops). Further hydrogen bonds mediate the characteristic L-shaped molecular structure. tRNAs have two regions of fundamental functional importance: the anti-codon, which is responsible for specific mRNA codon recognition, and the 3' end, to which the tRNAs corresponding amino acid is attached (by aminoacyl-tRNA synthetases). tRNAs cope with the degeneracy of the genetic code in two manners: having more than one tRNA (with a specific anti-codon) for a particular amino acid; and 'wobble' base-pairing, i.e. permitting non-standard base-pairing at the 3rd anti-codon position. The record is from RNAcentral. Lineage: Bacteria; Pseudomonadati; Candidatus Omnitrophota.